This 470-nucleotide ribosomal RNA is filed under the name uncultured organism. RNAcentral describes it as "partial 16S ribosomal RNA". It matches the Rfam family "Bacterial small subunit ribosomal RNA", at positions 334 to 796 of the family's 1533-position model. The record is from RNAcentral.
CACUCCUGCGGGAGGCAGCAGUGGGGAAUAUUGCACAAUGGGCGCAAGCCUGAUGCAGCCAUGCCGCGUGUAUGAAGAAGGCCUUCGGGUUGUAAAGUACUUUCAGCGGGGAGGAAGGCGAUAAGGUUAAUAACCUUGUCGAUUGACGUUACCCGCAGAAGAAGCACCGGCUAACUCCGUGCCAGCAGCCGCGGUAAUACGGAGGGUGCAAGCGUUAAUCGGAAUUACUGGGCGUAAAGCGCACGCAGGCGGUCUGUCAAGUCGGAUGUGAAAUCCCCGGGCUCAACCUGGGAACUGCAUUCGAAACUGGCAGGCUAGAGUCUUGUAGAGGGGGGUAGAAUUCCAGGUGUAGCGGUGAAAUGCGUAGAGAUCUGGAGGAAUACCGGUGGCGAAGGCGGCCCCCUGGACAAAGACUGACGCUCAGGUGCGAAAGCGUGGGGAGCAAACAGGAUUAGAAACCCGUGUAGUCC